AUACGGAGGAUCCGAGCGUUAUCCGGAUUUAUUGGGUUUAAAGGGUGCGCAGGCGGGAGAUUAAGUCGGCGGUGAAAUUUUGCAGCUCAACUGUAAAAGUGCCUUCGAAACUGGUUUCCUUGAGUGUAGAUGAAGUAGGCGGAAUUUGUGGGGUAGCGGUGAAAUGCAUAGAUAUCAAGAGGAACUCCGAUUGCGCAGGCAGCUUACUAAACUACUACUGACGCUCAGGCACGAAGGCGUGGGGAUCAAACAGGAUUAGAUACCCUGGUAGUCCACGCAGUAAACGAUGAUUACUAGCUGUUUGCGAUACAAUGUAAGCGGCUGAGCGAAAGCGUUAAGUAAUCCACCUGGGGAGUACGUUCGCAAGAAUGAAACUUAAAGGAAUUGACGGGG
Molecule: ribosomal RNA, 393 nt
Filed under: uncultured bacterium
Lineage: Bacteria
Description: partial 16S ribosomal RNA
Rfam family: Bacterial small subunit ribosomal RNA
Source: RNAcentral